GAUGAACGCUGGCGGCGUGCCUAAUACAUGCAAGUCGAGCGAACAGAUGAGGAGCUUGCUCCUCUGACGUUAGCGGCGGACGGGUGAGUAACACGUGGAUAACCUACCUAUAAGACUGGGAUAACUUCGGGAAACCGGAGCUAAUACCGGAUAAUAUAUUGAACCGCAUGGUUCAAUAGUGAAAGACGGUUUUGCUGUCACUUAUAGAUGGAUCCGCGCCGCAUUAGCUAGUUGGUAAGGUAACGGCUUACCAAGGCAACGAUGCGUAGCCGACCUGAGAGGGUGAUCGGCCACACUGGAACUGAGACACGGUCCAGACUCCUACGGGAGGCAGCAGUAGGGAAUCUUCCGCAAUGGGCGAAAGCCUGACGGAGCAACGCCGCGUGAGUGAUGAAGGUCUUCGGAUCGUAAAACUCUGUUAUUAGGGAAGAACAAAUGCGUAAGUAACUAUGCAUGUCUUGACGGUACCUAAUCAGAAAGCCACGGCUAACUACGUG
Molecule: ribosomal RNA, 497 nt
Filed under: uncultured bacterium
Lineage: Bacteria
Description: partial 16S ribosomal RNA
Rfam family: Bacterial small subunit ribosomal RNA
Source: RNAcentral